This 358-nucleotide ribosomal RNA is filed under the name uncultured Synergistaceae bacterium. RNAcentral's name for it is "bacterial SSU rRNA". It matches the Rfam family "Bacterial small subunit ribosomal RNA", at positions 1026 to 1382 of the family's 1533-position model. Lineage: Bacteria; Thermotogati; Synergistota; Synergistia; Synergistales; Synergistaceae. The record is from RNAcentral.
ACAAUAUACAAGGUGCUGCAUGGUUGUCGUCAGCUCGUGCCGUGAGGUGUCGGGUUAAGUCCCGCAACGAGCGCAACCCUCGCAUUCAGUUGCCAUCGGGUAAUGCCGGGCACUCUGGAAGGACUGCCAUCGACAAGAUGGAGGAAGGUGGGGAUGACGUCAAGUCAUCAUGGCCCUUAUGUCCAGGGCGACACACGUGCUACAAUGGCCGGCACAACGGGAAGCGAGUUCGCGAGGACGAGCGGAUCCCUUAAAGCCGGUCGCAGUUCGGAUUGAAGUCUGCAACUCGACUUCAUGAAGCUGGAAUCGCUAGUAAUCGUGGAUCAGCCAAGCCGCGGUGAAUACGUUCCCGGGCCUU